RNAcentral lists this ribosomal RNA (221 nucleotides) under uncultured bacterium. RNAcentral describes it as "partial 16S ribosomal RNA". It matches the Rfam family "Bacterial small subunit ribosomal RNA", at positions 1282 to 1500 of the family's 1533-position model. The record is from RNAcentral.
CUUGUCUCAGUUCGGAUUGUAGGCUGAAACUCGCCUACAUGAAGCUGGAGUUGCUAGUAAUCGCGAAUCAGCAUGUCGCGGUGAAUACGUUCCCGGGCCUUGUACACACCGCCCGUCACACCAUGAGAGUUGGCAAUACCCAACGUACGUGAUCUAACCCGCAAGGGAGGAAGCGUCCUAAGGUAGGGUCAGCGAUUGGGGUGAAGUCGUAACAAGGUACC